ACCCUCGUUCCAUGUUGCCAGCGGGUUAUGCCGGGGACUCAUGGGAGACUGCCGGGGUCAACUCGGAGGAAGGUGGGGAUGACGUCAAGUCAUCAUGCCCUUUAUGUCCAGGGCUUCACACAUGCUACAAUGGCCAGUACAGAGGGCUGCGAGGCCGUGAGGUGGAGCGAAUCCCUUAAAGCUGGUCUCAGUUCGGAUUGGGGUCUGCAACUAGACCCCAUGAAGUUGGAGUCGCUAGUAAUCGCAGAUCAGCAACGCUGCGGUGAAUACGUUCGCGGGCCUUGUACUCACCGCCUA
RNAcentral lists this ribosomal RNA (297 nucleotides) under uncultured bacterium. Its description in RNAcentral is "partial 16S ribosomal RNA". It matches the Rfam family "Bacterial small subunit ribosomal RNA", at positions 1101 to 1396 of the family's 1533-position model. The record is from RNAcentral.